GAGUUUGAUCUGGCUCAGAACGAACGCUGGCGGCAGGCUUAACACAUGCAAGUUGAACGCGUGUAGCAAUACACGAGUGGCGCACGGGUGAGUAACGCGUGGGAAUAUGCCCUUCAGUACGGAAUAACGUCGGGAAACUGACGCUAAUACCGUAUAAUGUCUACGGACCAAAGAUUUAUCGCUGAAGGAUCAGCCCGCGUUGGAUUAGCUAGUUGGUGAGGUAACGGCUCACCAAGGCGAUGAUCCAUAGCUGGUCUGAGAGGAUGAUCAGCCACACUGGGACUGAGACACGGCCCAGACUCCUACGGGAGGCAGCAGUGAGGAAUAUUGGACAAUGGGGGCAACCCUGAUCCAGCCAUGCCGCGUGAGUGAUGAAGGCCCUCGGGUUGUAAAGCUCUUUUAUCCCUGAAGAU
Molecule: ribosomal RNA, 413 nt
Filed under: uncultured Alphaproteobacteria bacterium
Lineage: Bacteria; Pseudomonadati; Pseudomonadota; Alphaproteobacteria
Description: bacterial SSU rRNA
Rfam family: Bacterial small subunit ribosomal RNA
Source: RNAcentral